AGGCCAUGGAAACAGAACGUUGACCGAAGCUAUAAAAGCUGCAGCUCUCACUUAUUUCUCAUUCGCACAUUAAACUUUGACAAGUUGACCUACUGCGGAUUUACUGUUGGAAAGUUGUAAUCUGGGAAACCCGAUCAACUGGAAAACUUCUACUCAACAAAACAUUUUGGAUUAUACCUGUUCACCUGGAAGGCUUCAUCUCAGACAAAUCUUUUUUGGAUUAAAUCUGAUCACUUGAAGACUUCAUCUCUUACAAACCUUUUCUGGAUUUAACCUGAACACCUGACAGCUACUGCCAGAAGUAGACCGUCUCUAACUGCUGGAGAAGUGGCCUCCGGUUGACCCCCUGGGGGGAAACGGCUUCUGUCCUGAGUCUCUGCAGUAUUCUGAGAGACAGCAUGGGAUCCAGUGUAUCCAAGGCUUCCACCUCAUCUUCCGAGAUGAACCCCGUCCAGCUCCCCAGCAGAUACGAGGUCCUGGAAGUUCUGGGAGAGGGCUACUUCGGAAAGGUUUUGAAAUGUCGGAAAAAGGACAACAAGCAGACAGUGGCUGUGAAGAUUCCUAAAUGCUUCGAGAAUGACACCGUCAAUGAGGUUUCCAUGCUGAGACGGUUCAAGCGCCUGAAACUCCACCAACACAACAUCGUUGAGUUCAUCGAUUGCUUUCAAACCAGAUAUGGAAAGGCAAUCGUGUUGGAGGUGUUGGAUAUCACCCUAGGCGACUACCUUGGAAAGACAAGUUUUGCGCCGAUGCUUCUGAGUGACAUCAGAAGCAUCAUCCAGCAGAUGGGGACAGCAUUUGAGGCGCUGAAGGGGAUCGGGGUGAUCCAUGCUGACCUGCACCUCCACAACAUUAUGAUGGAGAAUCACCAAACACGACCCUUCAGAGUCAAGCUCAUUGACUUCGGUGUUGCCAUGUCCAGAUCAGAAGCCAGCCAGGGCAAGCGCCUGCAACCACUGGCAUUCAGGUCUCCAGAAAUCAUGUUGGGCUGUCCAUUUUCUGAGGCCAUUGACAUGUGGUCCCUGGGCUGUCUGAUGUUCAUAAUGAUCUGCGGCAAACUACCGUUCAGUGGACGCUCCGAGUAUGAAAUUCUGCGGAGCAUCGCUGGUCUCAUAGGUCAGCCAGAAGACCUUGUUCUCAGUACUGGUCUACAGACAAAGAAGUACUUUAACUGGACUGAGUCAAACAGCUGGGAGCUCAAGACAUCUUUUGAGUAUUUCAAAUGUCACCUCAGCAGUGUCAAGCACCACAAGCUCCAGUCUCUGGACGAUCUCAAAAUAAUGCGUCUUGAGGAAAAUAAUGAAGCUGAGGCCGCAGAGCGAGAGCAGUGCAUCGAGCUCCUGAAGGCCAUGCUGAAGACGGGUGAGGAUGAGAGGAUCGCUCCCUGUCAAGUCCUCACUCAUGCAUUUAUCACCAAAGACUACCCAAACAAUGUGGCAGAGAAGUCUGAUACCAGCCAGCGUAAGAUGAUGAGACCAAAGGCGGCAGUCAUGAGUAAAAGACGCCCCGCUUGUCUUACGACAGCGCCCCCUUCCAGUCUUGCUUGUUACAGUCCACCAGCAGGUGUGAUCCUGGUUCGUCCUGCGACGGCUGAUAACACACUGCUGCUGGACGGUCAGGGGAGCAAAGUCAGUGGCAGGUCUUACAUUGACAAGACCUCGGGAUGUUCAGCUUUCACUUCUCCGUUCUCGAGUGAGGACUGCACUCCAUCUCCCACGUUUCUACCAUCAGGUGUGAUUCUGGUUCGGCCUGCGACAGCCCAGCGCACGGUGCUGGGAGAUCAGGAGAGUGCAGUCAGUUUUCAGUCUGGCCUGUACGAGGCAUCAGUGUCCUUAGUGACUGAUGUUGAAAGUGGCAUGGAGACACCAAUAUGUGAAGCCUCGGGCUCAUGUGAAAACAUUGGGGCAAAGAAGGAGCCAGGGAAGAAGAGGAAUGUCCUCCGACGUGUCUUCUCCUGGUUGAGAAAGACGUUCAUGCCAUGUGUUCCAUCUGUUGAUGGUCCGGCCUGCGACAGCUGAGAACAUGCUGUCGCUGGAAGGCGGGAGGGGGGGCAAAGUCAGUGGCAGGACUUACUUUAACAAGACCUCAGGAAGUUCAGGCUUCACUUCAUCGAAUAAGGACUGUGACUAUGAGCCUGAUCCUGGGUCAGCCUCCGGCUGCUGAGAGCAUGCUGCUGUUGGAAGGUCCUGAGACAGAGAUGGAAGUCACUGUCAGCGGAGGAGCAGCCAUAUAUUACCAACAGGCCGACAGAGAGAGAGAGCUCCACGCCCAGAGACACCCCGACUGCUCUGUCAGCCAAAACUACACACUCAGCGUCAGUGGUGUCCUCCACUUCACGGGCAGCUGUGAUGGAGGCCUCGACCUCACAGAGAGCUGUGGAGGAACCACGUCCCCGCAGACGGUCCCGGUCCUGUCACAGCUCACAUCAGCGGACAGCUGUGGUGCUGCUGCCACACACACAAGCUCCAGUGACCGUGCACGACUCACACCGAGUCCAGCCAAUCAGAGGAUGUGGAGCAUCACCCAGUGAUGGAGCAGCUUGAUCCUCCACCAAGUCCACCCAGUGCAGAGCAUCAGCUGCC
Acanthopagrus latus (yellowfin seabream) is the source of this 2582-nucleotide RNA transcript. It is a transcript of the gene named homeodomain-interacting protein kinase 1-like, with no coding region annotated. The record is from RefSeq and is a predicted model, not a curated record. NCBI's taxonomy places the organism in Eukaryota, Metazoa, Chordata, Actinopteri, Spariformes, Sparidae. The transcript has 17 exons.